Molecule: long non-coding RNA, 2006 nt
Organism: Astyanax mexicanus (Mexican tetra)
Lineage: Eukaryota; Metazoa; Chordata; Actinopteri; Characiformes; Acestrorhamphidae
Exons: 2
Source: RefSeq, a predicted model, not a curated record
UAAGGUGUUGCUAUGGUAUCCGGGUUGGUUGCUAAGGUGUUGCUAGGUGGUUGCUAAGGUGUUGCUAUGGUAUCCAGGGUGGUUGCUAAGGUGUUGCUAGGUGGUUGCUAGGGUGUUGCUAGGUGGUUGCUAUGGUGUUGCUAUGGUAUCCGGGGUGGUUGCUAAGGUGUUGCUAGGUGGUUGCUAGGUGGUUGCUAGGGUGUUGCUAGGUGGUUGCUAAGGUGUUGAUUUGGUAUCCAGGGUGGUUGCUAAGGUAUUGCUAGGUGGUUGCUAAGGUGUUGCUAGGUGGUUGCUAAGGUGUUGCUAUGGUAUCCGGGGUGGUUGCUAAGGUGUUGCUAGGUGGUUGCAAGGUGGUUGCUAAGGUGUUGCUAGGUGGUUGCUAGGGUGUUGCUAGGUGGUUGCUAAGGUUCUGCUAGGUGGUUGCUAAGGUGUUGCUAUGGUAUCCAGGGUGGUUGCUAAGGUGUUGCUAGGUGGUUGCUAAGGUGUUGCUAUGGUAUCCGGGGUGGUUGCUAAGGUGUUGCUAGGUGGUUGCUAAGGUGUUGCUAUGGUAUCCUGGGCGGUUGCUAAGGUGUUGCUAGGUGGUUGCUAGGCAGUUGCUAAGGUGUUGCUAUGGUAUCCUGGGUGGUUGCUAAGGUGUUUCUAGGUGGUUGCUAAGGUGUUGCUAGGUGGUUGCUAAGGUGUUGCUAUGGUAUCCGGGGUGGUUGCUACGGUGUUGCUAGGUGGUUGCUAGGCGGUUGCUUAAGUGUUGCUAUGGUAUCCGGGGUGGAUGCUAUGGUGUGGUUGCUAAGGUGUUGCUAGGUGGUUGCUUAGGUGUUGCUAUGGUAUCCAGGGUGGUUGCUAAGGUGUUGCUAGGUGGUUGCUAAGGUGUUGCUAUGGUAUCCUGGGUGGUUGCUAAGGUGUUUCUAGGUGGUUGCUAAGGUGUUGCUAGGUGGUUGCUAAGGUGUUGCUAUGGUAUCCAGAGUGGUUGCUAAGGUGUUGCUAGGUGGUUGCUAGGUGGUUGCUAUGGUGUUGCUAGGUGGUUGCUAAGGUGUUGCUAGGUGGUUGCUAAGGUGUUGCUAUGGUAUCCAGGGUGGUUGCUAAGGUGUUGCUAGGUGGUUGCUAAGGUGUUGCUAGGUGGUUGCUAAGGUGUUGCUAUGGUAUCCGGGGUGGUUGCUAAGGUGUUGCUAGGUGGUUGCAAGGUGGUUGCUAAGGUGUUGCUAGGCGGUUGCUAAGGUGUUGCUAUGGUGUCUAGGGUGGUUGCUAAGGUGUUGCUAGGUGGUUGCUAAGAUGUUGCUAUGGUAUCUGGGGUGGUUGCUAAGGUGUUGCUAGGUGUAUCUAACUGGUCGCUAGGCAGUUGCUACCAUUUCUAAAGUGGUUGCUAAGCAGUUGCUAGGCAGUUGCUAACGUUUUCCAGGUGGUUGCUAAGGUGUUGCUAUCUGGUUGCUAGGCAGUUGCUAACGUAUUACACAUGGUUGCUAAGUGGUUGCUAGGCAGUUGCUAAUGUUUUCCAGGUGGUUGCUAAGGUGUAUCUAACUGGUUCCUAGGCAGUAGUAGAUAAAAAGAAAGAGUGUUGAAUGUAGAAGUACAGAAAAAGGGAGAGCCUGAAAUAGAGAAGUAGAGAGAAAAUCAGCGUGAGAAGUAGAGAAAGAACACCCGAGAAUGUGAGAAAAAGAGUGACAAGUAGAGAGAAAUAUUGAGCGAGAGAAAGAGAAUUAGGGAAAAAGAGAGAUCGAGAAAUAAAGAAGUAGAGAAAGAAAAAGGAUGUAGUAGAGAGAUAGAUAGAAAGAGAAAGCAAGACAGAAAAGUAGAGUGAAAGAGAAGUAGAGAGAAGAGCGAGAAAUAAAGAGAGAGUAAGAGAGAAAUAGAGAAAUAGAAAAGUAGAAAGAAAGAGACAUAGAAAAGUAGAGAGAGUGAGAAAGAGAGAGUGAGAAAUAGAGAAGUAGAGAGAGAGUGAGAAAGAGAGAGUGAGAAAUAGAGAAGUAGAGAGAGUGCGAAAUAGAGACGUAGAGAGAGAGUGAGAAAGAGAG